This 635-nucleotide long non-coding RNA is filed under the name Callithrix jacchus (white-tufted-ear marmoset). RNAcentral describes it as "lncRNA (ENSCJAG00000083472.1)". Lineage: Eukaryota; Metazoa; Chordata; Mammalia; Primates; Cebidae. The record is from RNAcentral.
GGCCCCUUAAUUUGGUGGCACCACACGUUGGAUGGGCUUCUGGAAGUCAGUGAACACCCUGAGAGGAAUCUGCAACCUUAAGAGUGAACCCUCGCCGGGCGUGGUGGCUCAAGCCGGAAAUCCCAGCACUUUGGGAGGCCGAGGCGGGUGGAUCACGAGAUCAAGAGAUCGAGACCAUCCUGGUCAACAUGUGGGUACCAGGAGAAGAGCCAUAUUCGGAGGCAAGUGUUGAGCGCAUCCAGCCCGGGCAGCCAGUUCCCAAGCCUCUCUUCAGUCACCAGGCAGUAAACGGUUUACAGACACCGAGUGACUUGUGUGUCUACUUAGAAGACAAGAAGAAGGCAGAACAAGGCAGGAGAUUCAAAGUCUUCAUUGCUGACCCGAAGUGGAGCGUACAUCAGAGGUCAGCAAGCCAAGUGUCUAUCUUAUCGUCAAAUUCCCCUGUAUCUCUGCAGGACUGUCUGAGGCUUGGGGGAAUGAUGCCAAACAGACAUCAUUUAACCAACAAGGUUGCCCUCCCUGUACUCAAAGCCUGCUGGGGGAGGAUGAGACUGGGUGUCAGAUGGCCAAUUACUCCUGUUUAUACAAGCACGUCACAGGGUAAGCAUCCUCUGCCGAGUCCGUUCUGGGAUUGA